Molecule: long non-coding RNA, 17252 nt
Filed under: Nicotiana tabacum (common tobacco)
Lineage: Eukaryota; Viridiplantae; Streptophyta; Magnoliopsida; Solanales; Solanaceae
Description: long non-coding RNA (NTAB_LNC003074)
Source: RNAcentral
UGUGUUUGGCUGAAAUUNNNNNNNNNNNNNNNNNNNNUGUAAGCUGAAUAUAACUUAAAUUUCAACUUGAAGUUACUGUAAGAGGUAUGUGUAUUGUGUUCUUGCAUGUGCUUAAGGUUAUCUUGAUGUUGAUUAAUUUAAAUGAAUGGAGUAGACAUGAACUAGUUAAUAAAGUUACUAAUUGAAGAUAGUUGGAGUUGAGGAUUGUUUAUUUUGUUAUAAAUAUAUAGUAUAAGGAUGGAAUCAUUAAUGAAUGACUUCAUUUUCAUGUUAAUGAUACUGUUAAGUUAAUGUAAGAAGUCUAUAAGGGACGAUAUGGGUUAUAAGAAUAACAAUCAGAGCUUGCUGCUCGUCGUGAAGUAGUUGUGAUUUGUUGUUGUUAUAUGGUGUCUUGUUAUUGAUAUUUAUAUGUUGAUAGAUUUCUCUAGUUGUUGUUGUUGGUAUAUGGUAUUGGAGGAGGCCCUUGUUACAGGGAAAAUACUGCCCGAAUUUGCGUAAAUGAGCUACUAGCUUAAGUUACAGACUUAGCCUUUGCUCAGCACUAAUUUUGAAUCUCUUUAUACUAUGAUAGAUUGAGUUGACUUGUUUGAAGAGUGACUUGGAAGGUAUUAAGGACUCAACGGGUUUAAGGUAUGUUAAGGCACUUCCUUCUUUCUUUUGGCAUGAUCUAAAGUGAAAUGAAUAUGCUAUUUCAUAACGGAUCUACUCCUAGCAACCAAGGUUGUCCAUGUUGUUCUUUCCUUAUAAAGUUAUUCUAAGAAAGUGUGUAUGAUCCUUGAAUCCUACUAAAGUUCAUAUUGAGGCUAUGGAUGUCCAUAAUGUUAAUCAAAGGUGCAACGACCUUAAGUCACUCCGAAAGGUUUAGAAUGUAAUUCCAUGAGUCUAGCAUGCAUUAUAUAUAGUAUCUAUUUUAAUCUACCGAGCCACGCUAUAGUCGGUCGGGUACGGCACCUAUGGUGCAACCACUAAUCAAUUGGGUUUACCGAGCUCCAUGUGGCCGGGUACGAUUCUACCGAGCCUUAUGAUGGCCGGGUACGUUUUUACCGAGGCGUAUGUUUUUAAAAGUUUAUGUGUAUAUAUGUAUUAUGCAUUUCAUGUCAGUAGCCCCUAGAGGCACUCAGAUGUUACAGGUUGUAUCUCCUUUGUCUCUCUUUACAUUACUGUUCUUGUUUAUGCAUUCCUGCCUUACAUACUCUGUACCUUAUUCAUACUAACGUCCCUUUUUUCCUGGGAUGCUGCGUUUCAUGCCCGCAGGUCUCGAUAGACAGGUUGACAUUCCUCCUAGUAGGCUAUCAGCUUAGUGGAAGGUGUUGGUGCACUUUACUUACUCCGGAGUUGCCUAUUUGGUCAGUAUGCUUUGGACAUGUAUAAGUUGGUAUGACGGGGCCCUGUCCAGACCUUUAUGACUUUUAUAUACUCUUAGAGGCUUGUAAAUAGAUGUCAUGUAUAUGGAUAAUUGUAUGGACUUGGCAGCUAAUGUUUUGAGUGUAGAAAUGAUCAUGUCGGACUUAUAGGCCUGUAUGUCACAUGUAUAAGUUCGUAUAACAUGUUGGGUCGUCAUAUGUUGAGUAUUUCCUUAUGUUUUAUUCUUGUUAUCUCAUGACGGGCUUUCUCGCUGAUUUACCUAUGAUAUUAUGAUAAGAAAGAUAUGUCACGUUGGUACUCGGUUGAGUAAGGCACCGGGUGUCCGUCGCGGCCCUUCGGUUUGGGUCAUGACAAAAGUGGUAUCAGAGUAGUCCUGUCCUAGGGAGCCUACAAGUCGUGUCUAGUAGAGUCUUCUUUAUGGGUGUGUUGUGCACCAUACUUAGAAGCAGGAAGCUACAUGGCAUUUAGGACUGUCACUCUUUCUUCUUACUCUAGAUCGUGUGGUAAAGCUCAAUUGUAAGAAUUCAAACUUCUAAAUUCUCUUUUAUUCGUAAUACAAUGAUACCUCAUCCAAACCGACAGUUGGUAAGAGAUUGAAUAUUGUUAUGGAAGAGUUGAGUCAAUGGAACUAGAUUUUACAUCAUGAUUAUGAUGAAUAAAUGUAAAGUUUUUAGUAGAUUAUGUGUGUACUAAGACGCGUAAGUUUCUUGAUCAGGAGGCCUAAGGCAUAAAUAUCUAUCCACCCAUAUGGUUAAAAAGCAACGAGAGAAUCAGAAGGUAAAUACAAGUUUAAACAAGUAAAAGAAGCAAGGUGGUGAAGGUUACGAGGUAUCCAGUUAGUGAAAAUUUUGAGUUUUUACAAUUCAGGCAGAGAAAUAUAUGUAUUCUGAGUUACCUUCAACAGUAACAGAGGUAUGUACAAUUGACCACACUUAUCUUAGUUAUGCCCUAUGGGAGCUAACAGAUUUUGUUUAAGAGAAAGAUGGUAUAUCAGGAUCGAGUUGGGGUUUGAGUAACCUAAAAUGGUGGAUGGGUUGUUAGAAUAGGCUGUCAUUUUCGAAGGAUAUCACAAACGUGGUAAUAGUUCUCCUUGUGAGAUACCCCGAUGGUGCACUCUAGAAUAGUACACUUAGAUAUAAAUACUAGAAUGUCCAGAAAAAUUUAGGGCACUGGAAUCCUAGAAGGGAUAAAUAUUUGCCUUUGUAUGGAUCUCGUUCCUAGUAAAGAGAGAAUGUUAGGUGACCCAAAGAGCCAGUAAGAUGAAGCAAGGGGAGCUAAAAGUGAAAGAAUGUUUUGUUGAAGUUAUCAGAAUAAAGUGAUAGACAGAAAUAUUAGCCAGAAAAUAAAAAGAGAGUAAUUGAAGCAUUAUGAGUAAGAUGUGAUAAAUGGAUGAUAACGAUAAAUCAAAUAUGACAGAAUGACAGAGUCUAUAGUCAAGUAAAGGAAAAGAUAAGAGGUGACAGGCCUUGAGACAAUAUAAGAGUAUAGGCCAAAGGUUAUAUCCUCAUUUCGAGAAAUGGGUUGGUGACUCGAAUGUGAUUACCAGAAGGAAAAGUUAGACCCCAGUAGUAAUAGAAUUUAGUAUGGGAUAGUAAACAAGAUAAAAAAAUCGAACAUGAAUUAGGGAUCGAAGGAAUUAGGAAUAGUCGGCAUCACGAGAAUUUCAGAUAUCGUGUUCAAAAAAUAAUAGAAUAGACAACAGACGAAAAACCUUUAAAGGUCAUUUAGGAAGACGCUUCCCUAAAGCAAGCACUCUGAGAAGAGUUAAUCUUAAGGGACUAGGUGUGCCAGUUACACUAGGUGUCACCUUCGUGCGUAAGAAAUUCAGUUAUCCCUGGUACAGAAGGGUUACCAUAAGGCGAGUAAGGGUCAUUGAUGAUGUGAAACGAUGCCAAAGAUGAAGAGGUAAAACAUCUAUUGGUAGAUCUUUGUAGCACUAAAUUUUAGUACUCUCAUAAAUAGGGAAGAUGGUGUGAUAUGGUAUUAAGUCGGAGUUAUUGGUUCCGGUAACUAUGGAAUAAUAAAGCAAGAAUGUGGUAGAAAUGUGAAAGGAAUAAUAUUGUCUUUAUAUAGAUCCUAUCGAUAUGUCGCAACUCCAGAAAUAUAUGAAAGCACGACGCCAGGCAGAGGCAGUAAGAGUUCCCAGCCAGGAUAUUAUUGAUAAAUAAGUGCAAAUAGACACUUGAUACAUCAGGAGCAGUGCAAGAGGUAAAUUAAGACAAAGGACAUAUACCAAGAGAGAUUACACAGAGUAUAGAUAUGACAAUGGACCAAUGAGUAGUUAGUAGUUGAUUCCAGAAGAGCCUAGUUAUGGUUAGACAAGAGGAUACAGAUAAAUCAUGCAGAUUGUGCAAGGUAAACGUAGUGAACCCCAACAUAGUGAAUUCAGUCUCGCAGAUAUAAUAACAUCGUGGUCCUUGAGAAAUAUUUGGAUAGGAUUUGGGGUAGUUAAAGUUACCGUAUAAGUGUUACAUAGAUAAAAGAAAGUGCCACCAGGGAGAUAGUCAAAAUUUCAGUUUAGAAGCAACCCUACGAGCACAAGGGCGCGAAGGUAGGUAACUAAGGAUAAUUAUAGGCGAGUAAGAACAUCAAAAAUUCCUUCGAUGAUAUGAUAUAAUAAGCUCACAGCUUUACAAGAGUUAGAGGAUCUCCCAUGAGUACUAUAAUGAAAGGAUAGCUGUGGAAAUAAGGAAGAAGGCUUUAACCAAAGCAUAUCGAACUGAAGAAGAAAUGAUCUUGAAACAACAGUCUCACUACAACAAUGUAUACACUCUAGAAGAAAGUGGCACUUAUCAUGACUAAUGAAUGGGAAGAAAAAAACCAAAAGUGAUAUUUGAGAUAAUAUGAGUUAUAGGAAAUUCAAGUAUUCAUGAGCAAUAAGAUAAGUCAAGUAUUCAUGCAACAAGUGGAAGAACAACCAGAAAAAGUAAUUAUUUACAUUUAAAAAAAAUUGAGAAGGCACGAAAUGGAAUCUAUGGUGCUAGCAACUUAAAGGAAGUUUGCGAGUAAUAUAAAUAGAUAUGUGUAGGUCGUAAGAUAAAUUAUCACAGAGAGACAAGGUUUUAUGUGGAUAAGGGUAAGGAUAAGAUAAAGUGAGUGAGAUAGUGACAAUAGUAGGUAAGGCGUUGGGAUUAAUCCCAUCAAAACAAGAGACCUGAUGGUUUCCGUAAGUUAUAGAAAGCUCGGUACAGCCUGAAUGAACACAGAGGAGUCUAAGACUAUGAGCAAUUAGAAGAGAUGAAAUGCUACCCCAGUAGUAGAAUAAGAGUGUAAUUAUGAUAGAUAAGAGGAUGACAUUUAGGCCUUUGAUUGAGGAAUAAUUUAAAGAAAAGAGAUUUUAUGAAUUGCACGGGAUUGGAAUGCCCCCACAAGAUGAAUCAUGUCAAGAUGCUAUGAAAUGUAGUUAUUGAAGUAUAGUAUCGUCCCUAGGUGGAUGGGGAAAAUCACUUCAGAUGUUCUCCGAUGAGACGUGUGCCCUAGUGAUAAUGUAUUACGUAAGAGGUUUCAAGUUAUCAGUGGUAGAUUAUGGAUCAACAUUAAGGUGAAUCACCAAUGGAUGGAUAAAAGUUGCAAAGUAUGAGAUGAGGUUAGACCUUCAUUAUUAAGAUGAACAGUAAUGAGGAAGCAUUAAAUGGCUUAGAUUUAUAUAUAUAGGAUAAGCAAUGGGAGAGUAACCUAGAAUUAGGUGGCAGAACUCGAUAAUAAUAAACAGAAAUAAGAGUUAUGGUAUAGUAUGACCUACCUAGUUGUAGUAAAGCCAUAAUUAUAGAUAACUGACGCUAUGAAACAAGAUAUAGCAAAAGUCAUAAGUUCUACAAAGUACCGAGCGAAGAACUUUAGUACACCUACAACUUGUCAUCUAUAUAUGUUCACAAAGUGAGGCCUAGAGAUUAGUUAAAAGCUAACAAAAAAAGGAGAUAAGAGUCACAUAGGCGCACAUUCAAGGUUAGAACCGUACACACUGCAUGAAAGAAGGUAGAAACAGUUAUGAGAUUGGAAGAAUUUCGACCACAAGUCAUGGUGUGAGAAAGAGGCCUAAAGGGGGGAAUGCCCUGGCCUUUGGAUAAUUUAACUAAACAAGUCCCUAGAGGGAAAAGACAAUAUUAAAGUACUCGUAAGAGCUAUUGCUGAAGAGACGGAUAAGUGCAUCAGUCAACAUUCGAGGAAGAAUGUUCCAAAGGGGGGAAUGAUGUUACACCCCAUGUUUUCGUGCGUUAGUGUAUGUCGUAAGUCAAUUGAUAUAAGCUCAGAAAUAAGAUUAUAUUUGAAAGAAUAUAAAUUAAGUUAAUCAUGUUACCUUAGAGGUUACAAACAUUUAAUAUAAUGAAUAACGAGUACCAAGAGGGUUGGAAAGCUUAGAAGUUAAACCACUUGAAGAAAAUAAGUUUUGUCGAAAGUCGACAAGUUUAGAAUGUUAUAACAUGUACCAUAGGGUGAGACUAUGGUUCUUAACAUGAUAAGGAUGUUAUUUUAUGAUUUAUUUUAGUUGUAUGAUAGUCGUGUAUUGUAUUUUGAAGUCAAGCGAGUUGUGGAACAAAAGUUGGCAAAGGUCAUCACAAGUUGCAUUCAUAAAGUGCUGAAAUUUAGGUCAAAUGUAGCUGCACUUUUCUCCCAAUAUACUUGGAAUCAAGAGAUAAUCUACACAUUAAAUUAAAUAUCUACGAGUCUAUUUUCUAAUACAUUAAACCGUUUAUCGAUACGACAUCGGAGCAGAGACAUAUUCGCGUUUUUGCGAGACCACACAAGCAGCUUCAAAUGGAACCCACUUAGGCGGUGGUCGACCUACUUCACUUUAUAAACGAUUUGGACGCCUAUUUUUAACUCAUGUUCAACUCAACUUCGUCUCCAAACUUAUCCUAACCCUUUUAAACAUAUAUUACAAGGGUUUGAAGUGAUUCCAAAGUGAUUACACCAUAUUUCAACAUCAAAACUUAGUUCUAGUGAAGGACAACACCUCUUUGAGGUUGUGUUGUCAUUGAGGAUUGUUGUAGGCUGUGUUUGGCUUAAAUUCCAAGUUGUUGCUACUGUCUAAGGUGAGUAUAACAUCCUACUAAUUGUUCUUAAGCUUUUUGUAUAUUGUUUAAGUUGUUAGGAUGAUAAACUACAAGAUAAUACUUGGAUUAGCUUAAGUCACUUCUAUAGUGUUGUAUUGCCAUUGAUGGUUGUUGUAAGCCGAAUAUAGCUUGAAUUUCAACUUGACGUUACUGUAGGAGGUAUGCGUAUUGUGUUUUUGCAUGUGCUUAAGGUUAUUUUCAUGUUGAUUUAAAUGGAUGGAUUAGACAUGAACUAGUGAAUAAAGUUACUAAUUGAAGAUAGUUGGAGUUGAGGAUUGUUUCCUUCGUUAUAAAUAUAUGGUAUAAGGAUGGAAUCAUUGAUGAAUGACUUCAUUGUCAUGUUAAUGAUACUGUUAAGUUAAUGUAAGAAGUCUAUAAGGGGCGAUAUGGGUUAUAAGGAUAACAAUCAAAGCUUGCCGCUCGUCGUGAAGUAGUUGUGACCUGUUGUUGUUAUAUGGUGUCUUUUUAUUAAUAUUUAUAUCUUGAUGGAUUUCUAUGGUUGUUGUUGUUGGUAUAUGGUAUUGGAGAGGCCCUNNNNNNNNNNNNNNNNNNNNNNNNNNNNNNNNNNNNNNNNNNNNNNNNNNNNNNNNNNNNNNNNNNNNNNNNNNNNNNNNNNNNNAAGGACUCAAUGGGUUUAAGGUAUGUUAAGUCACUUCUUUCUUUCUUUUGGCAUGAUCUAAAGUGAAAUGAAUACAAUAUUUCAUAACGGAUCUACUCCUAGCAACCAAGGUUGUCCAUGUUGUUCUUUCCUUACAAAGUUAUUCUAAGCAAGUGUGUAUGAUCCUUGAAUCCUACUGAGGUUCAUAUUAAGGGUAUGGAUGUCCAUAAUGUUAAUCGAAGGUGCAAUGACCUUAAGUUACUCCGAAAGGUUUAGAAUGUGAUUCCAUGAGUCUAGCAUGCAUUAUAUAUAGUAUCUAUUUUACUCUACCGAGCCGCGCUAUAGUCAGCUAGGUACGACACCUAUUGUGCAACCACUAAUUAGUUGGGUUUACCGAGCUCCACGUGGCUGGGUACGAUUCUACCGAGCCUUAUGAUGGUCGGGUACGUUUUUGCCGAGUCCUUUUUUAGGCCGGGUACGAUAUGAUGAUGAUGAUGCCCAUAUAGGCGUAUGUUUUUAAAAGUUUAUGUGUAUAUAUGUAUUAUGCAUUUCAUGUCAGUGGCCCCUAGAGGCACUCAGAUGUUACAGGUUGUAUCUCCUUUAUCUCUCUUUACAUUACUAUUCUUGUUUAUACUUUCCUGCCUUACAUACUUGGUACCUUAUUUGUACUGACGUCUCUUUUGCUUGGGAAUGCUACUUUUCAUGCCUGCAGAUCCCGAUAGACAGGUUGACAUUCCUCCUAGUAGGCUAUUAGCUCAGCGGAAGGUGUUGGUGCACUCCACUUGCUUCGGAGUUACUUAUUUGGUCAGUAUGCUUUGGACAUGUAUAGGUUGGUAUGGUGGGUCCCUCUCCGGACCUUUAUGACUUUUAUGUACUCUUAGAGGCUUUUAGACAGAUGUCAUGUAUAUGGAUAAUUGUAUGGACUUGGCAGCUAAUGUUUUAAGUGUAGAAAUGAUCAUGUCGGACUUAUAGGCUCGUAUGUCACAUGUAUAAGUUAUAUAACAUGUUGGGUUGUCAUAUGUUGAGUAUUUCCUUAUGUUUUAUUCUUGUUAUCUCAUGAUGGGCUUUCUGGCUCAUUUACCCAUGAUAGUAUGAUAAGAAGGAUACGUCACGUUGAUACUCGGUUGAAUAAGGCAUCGGGUGCCCGUCGUGGACCUUCUGUUUGGGUUGUGACAUCCAGGCAAAAAGGGAUGUUAGUACGAAUAAUGUAUCGAGUAUUUAAGGCACAUAAAUAAGUACAUAAUAGACAUGGAAGAAGUAUUGAGUAAAUAACUCAACCUGUAUGUCUGGAUAACUCUGUAAAUUAUGAAAUACUUAUUGUGUCAUGCAUAUGCAUACGAAUGUCAUGUCGUGCAUAGGUACAUGUGUUUAUAACAUCAUCAAGCCUCUGAGGGCAUCCCAUCAUAUCAUCUCAGCCAUUAUGGGAAAAUCAUUAACGUAUACCAGCUGAUCAGGUGGUGGUACGUAUAUAACGCCAUAACCUUUUCCCAUAUUCCAUAUACGUAUAUACGCGUAUAUAACGCUAUCUGGUCAUGGGUCAAUGUAAAUGAAUGCAAUCCAUGCGAAGUACGUUAAUAAAAUCUCUCGGAAUGUCAUAAGACUAGUAUGCCUUUGAGUAAUAUCAUGAAGUAAAAAAAAUUCAACAUACGUAUUUUUCUGAGAUCCAUGAAUAGAAGAUGUAAUAAUAAGACAGAUGGGAAUUUCAAGAACAUAGGCACCUCUAAUACUUCUAUGAAUAUAGUCAUUUAUGGAAGUUGUGCAUUUGCUCGUUUCUUUUGUGUCGUAUAGAUCAUGCCAAAAGGAAAGAAGGGAUAGCCUUAACAUACCUGGAGUAGGGAAAAAUUCUGUAUGAUAUUCUUCGGAAAGGUUGCACCGUACUCCAUUUGAAUCACAAAAUUUUACGUUGCUAAAUCUUGUUGGAAGCAUUUUGUUGCAAGUAGGAUUGCUAAUGUUUAUCUCUUCUUAUUACAAAGCCUUGGUAUUGAAAAUGGUCGGGAAGAGUUUGCAUUUGAUUGAAAAUGUCUUUGAGAAUGAGUUAUCAAAAUAGUAACGUUAUUGAAUGUUGUUUUUGAAAGUUUACAGUUGAGGUGUCUUUUGAUUAAAGAAUUAGGAUGGCACCUACUAAUAAUUGACUAAGAGUCAUUAUUAAUAAGUGGGUUUGCUGCCAUGUUCUCACCUUAAUACUUAUCCAAAAUUUUCAAUUUAUUUAAUUAGGUAAUAUCCUGCUACCCGGUAAUUAACCAAUUACACGAAUAAUUAAGAAUUGCCUCAAAUUACUUAAAUUUCUACUUAUUUUUAAUAUACUUUAUAUAUCCUACUAUCAUGGUCAUAUGGUACCUCGUAUGGUACUAGUCCAUAAAUAUCGGGGUAUUAUAGCUUGGACCGUAUUUUAUCCCAAAUUGCCAAACUUCGACGAAAAUUCAUUUUCUUUGACUUGUUUCCCCUCUCACCUUCAUGAACUUACUUAUCACUUUUUUAAAAUAGCAUAAUCCUUAUAAUCUCUAAAUAAUUUUUUCCUUGGACUGAUGUUAAUUACCUUAUGAUAAAUUCAACGUACAAUACUACAGGGUGCAACAUCGUCAUAAUUUAAUACUGCAAAUCGUAACAUCAUCGUAAAGUAAUACUGCAAGGCGUAACAUCAUCAUAAUAUUGCGGGGCGUAACAAAAUCCCUCAUCACCACCCAAGGAAACUACACCAACACCAUCUAUCACACCUUCAACCACACCUACCUCUAAGAAAGGAAGAUUCAAGAUGAUGGCUCGCAAGGUUGUUGUUGGUGGAGAGAAAAUCAAGAAAAUUAAUGAACAAUUGAAAGCGAGUCGGAAGAAGAACCCUAGAAAUCUGAUGAAUCAUUCAAGUCUGCUACUGAGGGGGAAGAAAUUGUUUCUUCUAAGAUAGAGCAGGUAAUAUCUGGCCCUAAAGUUACUCCUAAAAUCAUCUCUGAGGUUGCUACAAAUCUAGAAAAUUGGUUUGUUCUGGUAGGAACUGUGGCUGGGGUUGAAAUAACUGAGUCUGGGAUAAUUGGUGGUAAAAAUAAAAAGAGAAAAGAAAAGGAGAGUGAGGGUGCUCAAGGUGCUAUGAGAGGAGUGGGAAAAGGAGUGGCUAAAUCUUCACCCACUUCUGUUGGUUUGACUGAAGAAAUAGAUGCUAUGGUAGUGUGGAGUGAAGAAUCUGCCGGAAAAGAAGAAAAUGUGAGAGAGAAAAAAAGGAAGUGGGUCUGGAGAAGCUGUUGAGGGUUGGUUAGAUUGGGGAAGAAUGUUCAAGAACCUAUUCCAUCUGAACAUGAACCCCUUGCAGACCUACUAAAAAAGGUGUCUGACAGUUACCUAAAAAGAAAAGGAGUUUAGGAGUUAAAAUUCCUGGUACUUCUAGGGCAAACAAGAAAAGAAAGUUUGUCUCGUCUAUCCCUGUAAAGACUCCUUCUAUAAGAGAGAGAGCUACAAGGAGUCAGAAGAAGCAGAGUGAGGCUGAACUGGAAAAGACCUUAGAAGAAAGUAAGAGAAAAAUUGCUUCUAAGGGAACGGAGAAGGUGGUUGAGCCUGUUGAGGCAGUUGAGAUUGAAGAGAUGGACUUGGUUCUUCGUGAUGAAGAGGAGGCAUAAGAAAUGGAGGUUGUGACUCCAAAGGCAAAGAAAGCCAAGACUUCCACAAAGAAGUUUGUUUCAAAAACAAAGUCUGCAGAGCCCUCUACUUUGGCUAAAAGAACUAGGUCUGCAUUGAAAUCUAGAAUGUGAAAGUUGUGGAGGAAGAAGAAUGGAGUGGAGAAGAAGAAGAAGAAGAAGAAGAAGAAGAAGAAGAAGAAGAAGAAGAAGAAGAAGAAGAAGAAGAAGAAGAAGAAGAAGAAGAAGAAGAAGAAGAAGAAGAAGAAGAAGAAGAAGAAGAAGAAGAUGAUGAUGAUGAUGAUGAUGAUGAUGAUGAUGAUGAUGAUGAUGCUGAGAAAGACAAGAUGGCUAUGUUUAGGAAGAGAACCAUCUUGAAAGGUAGACUCCUCAUGGACUUGGAGAAGGAAGGUAGGGGUGGCAAAAUGGUUAAAAGAAAAUAGUUAACCACCCAUAUUUUCCACUAAAAAAUAGGUUGGAUAAUAAACUUUUUAAAAAAUGGGUCAAAAUAUGGAUAAGAACCAUAUUAUCUAUUUAGAAAAUGGAUAACCAAUGGGUCUAACUUUUACAUUUGUAAAGCCUCAAAUUAGGGGUUCCUCAAGUUAGGGAGACUAAGAAUUAUCCCAAAAGUGAUCAUGUGCUAGAAUUCAUGGAUAAUAUGGUUAACCCUAUUAUCUGUCGGUUAACCCAUUUUUUAUCCGUAUUAAAUAUGGGUCGAGUCAGAUAAUUGAUCUAUUUUUUUAUUACCCGUUUUCGACUCGAACCAUAUCCGACCCGACCGCUCGUUUUCCACUCCUAGAGGAAGGCAUAUUGAUGUUGCUGGAGAAGUUAUAAUUGUAGGGUUGGAAGAACAUGGUCCUUUAGAUUGAUGGGAAACUUGCAAGAACUAAGAUUGUGGAGUUCAUGGCAAAUUGUGAGAUCAAAAAUGGCAUAGUCACCAGUGUGGUGAAGGGGGUGACAGUGAGUUUUGAUGACAAGGAAUUGGGAGAGAUCUUAGGUGUACCUUCUGAAGGGUACAAUGAUUACAACAAGCUCAAAUGGACAAGUCUAGAGAACCUCCCUACCUCCCAUGCCAUUACAAGGAAGUUCGGUGACGAUGAAGAAGAACUUCAGCCCAAGGCCAUAAACAAAAGUGAUAUGAAGCCAACCCACAAAGUGUUGUUCGAAUUUGUUAACAAAGUUUUGCUGCCUAGGCAGGAAAGGAGGUACAUUGCCACAUUCAUGGACAUGGUCCUUAUGGAAUGUCUGGACAGUGGAAGGCAAAUCAAUUGGCUUGGAUUUAUUAUCCAGCUUCUUGAUAAUGUUCUAACUGGCACCAAAACUCAUGUCAUACCCUAUGGUUUUAUUCUCACGGUUGUACUUGCACACUUCAAAGUACCUAUCAAGAAAUGGAAAGUUUGUACAAGAAAGGAUCACUUUAGGGCAAGCACUAUGACUGCUUAUGAAUAUGAAGUCCACACCACCCCCAAAGAACCUCAUUCAUCCAAAAAAGUACCUGUGAAUAGCAAAGUGCGAGCUGUGGUGCAAGAAAGUGAGGCUAAAGAUGCUAAAAUUGAAAUGUUGAAAAUGAGGUUGCAAGAAGUAGAAACUGAGAGAGAUUCUCUCAGAGCUGAGCUGGCAAAUGAUAACGAGAUGAAUGAUGGCAUUCUUCAUGAUAUGCUAAAACUGCUCCAAGCCAAGAACAAAGAACCUAGUCCUUCAUAGCCUUAAGACCUCCUAGCCUAGUUAGACCAACCAGUGACCCGAAUAGGAUUUUUUUUAUUUCUUUUGCUCAUGAUCUAGUGUAUUUAUUUCUCUUUAUGCUUUGUGGAUGACUAGUAUCAAUGAUAAUCAACUAUUUUUGUGCUCUAACUAUUUGUUGAUGCUUCUUAGAUGGCUAAUAUCAUUAGAUUGAUAAAUGAGAUUUAACUUCAUGAUUUCAUUUGAAGUAGCUCAGGUGGCCAUGAGUAAUUUCUGUUAAACUCUGGUUAUUUAACAUAAUUAUGUAACUUUUUUAUGAUGCCAAAAAGGGGAAGAUAGGUUGUGCUUCUACUUUGGGACUGCGAUGUUUAUAACCUAAUGAACCUGGUCCUUAAUGAUUAGUGAUUUUAAAAUGAAAAGUGUUCUAACUUUGUGUUGAUGUUGAGCUGAGUUGAAACAGGGCUUAUGCUUAUGAAAAGCACAGAGUUUGUCAUCAUCAAAAAGGGGAUAUUUGUUGGCCCAAGUGAAGUUUGUUUUGAUGGUUGACAAAGAAACUCAACUAUGAACUAGGUCCAUAGACAUUGUACACAGUAACGGGCAAAUUCUAGCAUAAGGGAUGUACGUGAAGGAGACAACUUUAAGUUAUUAUAUCUAAUAUAUCUUGAUCGAAAAGGUUGCAUAAAUGAUAAGGAGAAUGACUCCUUACUAGAAGAGAAUUUAUGGGAGGAGUUAAAAGUUGAAAAUAACUAGAACUCUUCCACCAAGGAAGAGUAUAGCAUUGGAACUCUAGUUAUUUCCUAUUCUACUAACUCUAUAAAUUACAGGAUGUUCUCAUUUUAUAAGGACGCACAAAAGCUGAAGUUAAAUGUGAGUUGAGGGGAAAAUAGCAAGGCAUAUUGCAAGCAAUUCUUGUGUAAUUCAAGUGUGCGAACCUGAAGCUACAUGAACCAGAUAGAAGAACUAGUUCCAAGUGUCUGUCUUUUAUUCUAGUUUCAUUGUAGUAGGUGUUUUCAAAUUGUAUUUAGCUUUAUCUAGAAGUAAUUGUAUUAGGUACUCUGAGUAUUCAAGUUAGAGUUAACUUGACGUUGUCGAAACAGUUAGAGGCUGGUUGCCACAACGAGAUUAGAGGUAGUCCUUAGGUUUAUAAAGAAUUUUGUAAAUACUGUUUUGACUCAGUGAUUUAGUGAAGUGUUGGGAAAAAAUCCUACUGAGUAGUAGGUCGUGGUUUUUUCACCUUUUGAGACGGUCUUUUUUCACGUAAAAAUAUUUGUGUUCUUUACUUUUUGCAUUUAUUAUUUCCGCAAUAGUAGUAUAAGGAACACAUAGAAGAACCAGGUCCUUCUAUAAUCUGUGCACCACACAAAUCACUCACGCUCUUGUGUGGCAUUACAGUAUAAAACAUCACUGUUAUAGAAGUGUAAUGCUACAAAGAGCGUACUGCUAUAAAGAUGGAUAUUAUUGUUAUGGGUAAAAAGUUGUUAUAAAAAGAUAAAAUGUAACAUAAAAUAUUGGGUCCUAAAUUUUUGACUUUUAUAUUAAAUACUACUAGUCACUAUUGUGUAAAAAUACUAUUAUAAAAAGAUCUAAUUGUAUCGGAUCGAAUAAUAUAAUAAAAUUUAAAUAUAAACUAUUUUUAAAAGUAAAAGCAUAAAUAUAACCCCUCUUUUAAAAUCGUUUCAGCUACAAAGUUAACAAUACACACGCAUCUAUACAAAAAUUGUCUGGACGUGCUUUUAUUACAGUGCAUCUGCCCCAGGCCGGAAUGUCUUCUACUUCUGUCACAGUGGGAUGUAGCAAAUAGUGUCAUUUUUUGCAUUUGCACAUAUAUAAGACACAAUGCCGCGGCAAACCUUCGUCCUUUCUGCAUGCGUGGUUGUUGCCAAGUGUUUACUUCACGUGUUCACUUUGGAUCUAGCAGUGACAUCUUCUUAAUUCGGUUAUUUUGCUAUACUGGUUUGUUUGCUAUUUUGCUACUAUGAUUUAUGAAGACAAAUACCUGCCUCAUUAUGUUUCCCCUGUCACUAGCUCUCCGACCAAAUGGCUCAACGGAAAUAACACUCCAAUAAGCAUUUUUGGGUCUAUAGCAAACCCUGUAGUUUUGUCCUUAAUGUAAUCAUCGACAUGUUAGCCGAUCUCUCAUGUUUGAGUGAUAUGUGUCGUUUCAGUAAAGUUGGAUAUCAGCACUAACGAAAAUUUAAACGUCAUGAGUGUUGAAUUAAAAAAAAAAACAACUAUAUAUAUAAAUUUAAAUUUAACUUUGUUUGUACAAGAUUUUUACACAUAUUUGUUCAAUCUCAAAUUAUUGAAUUCAUCAGAACUCACCACGCUAUUGCUAGAAUUCUCCACUGCUAAAUUAUGCUCAAAGACUAGUGAGUUAAUACUUGAAUUUGUAUUGUAGUAAGAGAAAAAUGAAAACUUACUACUUCAAUUCUCCGCAUUCACCCACCCUUUUUUAAAUGCAUACGGUGCAAUAAUAUCUAAGCUGUAUGUGGUGUAAUGGAAAAAACAAAGGGGAUAGCGAUCAGCAAAAGCAUCAAUACUUAUCAACUCGCCGCAUAUUUCCGGUGCCAGCUACGUUCAUGUCGUUUACAAAUUGUCCGUACACCGUACUCACGUGACAUGCACGCAGUUACCUAGCUAGCCUUAUCACACUUCCACUUGUUCACUUCAUUUUCUUCUCCACGUUACUCUUCGUUCUCUUCAUUAUCAACACUUGUCAAUUUGCAUGCAUGCAUGCAAUGUCUCAAACUCAUCUUUCUCCACUAUAAAUCCCCACGAACAAAAUCCACUUCUCUUCGUCCCCAUCAACACUUCUCCAUCACAGUUCAAUAAUUAUGGCGAUUUUCACCAAAUCGAAGCUUUUGUUUCUCUUCUUCUUGAUCCUUUCUCUUUUCCUUGCUUCUCAAUGUGAUGAUGAAAACCCUUGGGGCCAAGAUCCGAGGCGCGAGCUCGAGAGUUGCUUAAGGCAAUGCCAGGUUCAGAAAGAAAGACAAGAAAGCCCUGAACAGCAACUCCAGUGUCAGAGAAGCUGUGUUUUGCGUUAUGAACGUCAACACAGGGAGAAAUCUGAAGAAGUGAUUGAGGACAUACCGACUCAUCACCGUGACCCCGAAAGAAUUUACAGAGAGUGCCAGGAACGUUGUCAGAGGCAAGAACAUGGACAGCAGAGACAGUGCCAACAACGUUGUGAGCAGGAGUAUCGGAGAGAACAACAACAACAACAUCGUGGCCACCAGACUGGAGAAGAUAAUCAAGGACGAGAAGGUAUGGUGAUUGUUAUACUCGAACUAUUUUAUUUUAUGUGAAACAGUAGAAAGAGUUUUUCUUUAUUACCGUUUAGCAAAUGCUUUUUAAAAGCAUUUUGAGUGUUCAAUUAGUGUGGCUUAUCUUAUUAAUUCACAUAGUUUUAUAUUAACUUUUUACAUAUUUUUAAUUAUGUAAAUUUUAAAAUUGGAAGUUUUAUGUCCUUAGAAAAAAGUUCACAAAUUUUAUGCCCUUAAAAAGUAAUCUUCUCCUCAAUUCAUGUAGCUAAUUGGGUGUUACCGUUUUUCUAGGAUUAUACGAGCUUUACUUUGAUCAUAAUUUAAUUAUAUGCAUUUUAAAUAUUUAAAAUUAUUAAUUAUUUUAACUUAUAUUCCUUCUUUCGUUGAGCGUAAAAUUGGUAUUUUUUUGGAACGGACCAAAAAGAUAAUAGUUUCACGUAAACUGAAACGGAACGGACCAAAAGAAAAAUAGUUUCACGUAAACUGAAACGGAACGGACCAAAAGAAAAAUAGUUUCACGUAAACUGAAACGGAACGGACCAAAAGAAAAAUAGUUUUUCGUAAACUGAAAUGGAGGGAAUAUUACUUUUGAUUAUAAGUUUAUUAUAUGCAUUUUACAUAUAUUUUAAAUUAUUUUAUUUAGCUUAUAUUACCUUUUAAUUAUAAGUUUGUUACAUGCCUUUUAAAUAUUUUAAAUUAUUAAUUAUUUUAACUUAUACUAUUAUUUUUUCUAUUGUCUUUAAAUAUAUAAAUUUUAUUUAAAAAAUUAUUAUAAUUUUGGGUCCAAAAUCACCGUCAAGGCACUAGAAAUCGGAUUGUGUCUUAGGAAAUAGUUAGUCUGUCUAGUAUAAAGUGGUACCAUGCAUGCAUGUCUCCUUUAUCUUAGCAUUUAGCAAUAGCAACAUAUACAUACGUGUAUGCGAAAAUAUUAAAUUUAUGAAACAUAUUUUCUUUUUGGUCAUUUCAAAAAGAAUGAUCACUGUCUAAAUUUGCUAACAAUUUAGCUUCAACUUACCCUUACCUUACCCUUAACGAGAAGCUUUUAUAACCACACAAAUACUCUGGCCCUUUUUGACUUGUUUAGGACUACAAAUUUCAAAAGUCUUUCAUUUUUUUUAAACUUCGUACCUAAUCAAAUAGGUUCACGUAAAUUUGAAUGGAGGAAUAACUAACACCACAAAUAAAUAAAUAAACUGCCUUUCUUAAAUUCUUUUUUAUUUAUUGUUUCUUGUCUAACAGGUCGUGAACCGGAGAGGAGAUUCAGAGAAUGCCAACAGAGAUGUCAAACACAAGAACAUGGUCAACAACAGAAACAAUGCCAACAACGUUGUGAGCAAGAGUACAGAAGAGAGCAAGAACAACAACGCCGCGGCCAAGGGGAGAUCAUAGAAGAAAAUCAAGGACGAGGCCAACGCGAACCUGAGGAGAGAUUUAGAGAGUGCCAACAGAGAUGCCAAAGACAAGAACAGGGCCAACAACAGAGACGGUGCCAACAACGUUGUGAGCAAGAAUACAGGAGAGAGCAAGAACAACAACGUGGUGGCUCGGAGGAGAUCCUAGAAGAAAAUCAAGGACGAGGCCAACGUGAGCCCGAUAGGAGAUUCAGAGAAUGCCAGCAGAGGUGCCAAAGACAAGAACAAGGCCAACAACAGAGACAGUGCCAACAACGUUGCGAGCAAGAAUACAGGAGAGA